RNAcentral lists this ribosomal RNA (594 nucleotides) under uncultured Phialocephala. RNAcentral describes it as "eukaryotic LSU rRNA". The stretch from base 233 to 386 matches the Rfam family "5.8S ribosomal RNA". The record is from RNAcentral. Lineage: Eukaryota; Fungi; Ascomycota; Leotiomycetes; Helotiales.
CUUGGUCAUUUAGAGGAAGUAAAAGUCGUAACAAGGUUUCCGUAGGUGAACCUGCGGAAGGAUCAUUAAAGAAUUGCCCCAUUUUUUGAAAUGGGUUCUAUUCCCAAACCGUGUAUACAUACCUUUGUUGCUUUGGCGGGCCGUGGCCUCCACUGCGGGCUCUGCUCGUGUGUGCCCGCCAGAGAACCAAACUCUGAAUGUUAGUGAUGUCUGAGUACUAUCUAAUAGUUGAAACUUUCAACAACGGAUCUCUUGGUUCUGGCAUCGAUGAAGAACGCAGCGAAAUGCGAUAAGUAAUGUGAAUUGCAGAAUUCAGUGAAUCAUCGAAUCUUUGAACGCACAUUGCGCCCUGUGGUAUUCCGCAGGGCAUGCCUGUUCGAGCGUCAUUUAACCACUCACGCCUAGCGUGGUAUUGGGGCACGCGGUCUCCGCGGCCCUCAAAAUUAGUGGCGGCGCCGGUGGGCUCUAAGCGUAGUACAUACUCCCGCUAUAGAGUUCCCCCCGGUGGCUCGCCAGAACCCCCAAUUUUUUACAGGUUGACCUCGGAUCAGGUAGGGAUACCCGCUGAACUUAAGCAUAUCAAUAAGCGGAGGA